UACGUAGGGGGCAAGCGUUAUCCGGAUUUACUGGGUGUAAAGGGAGCGUAGACGGCAGAGCAAGUCUGAAGUGAAAGCCCGCGGCCCAACUGCGGGACUGCUUUGGAAACUGCCCGGCUAGAGUGCUGGAGAGGUAAGCGGAAUUCCUAGUGUAGCGGUGAAAUGCGUAGAUAUUAGGAGGAACACCAGUGGCGAAGGCCGCUUACUGGACAGUAACUGACGUUGAGGCUCGAAAGCGUGGGGAGCAAACAGG
This 253-nucleotide ribosomal RNA is filed under the name uncultured bacterium. Its description in RNAcentral is "partial 16S ribosomal RNA". It matches the Rfam family "Bacterial small subunit ribosomal RNA", at positions 524 to 776 of the family's 1533-position model. The record is from RNAcentral.